CCUACGGGAUGCAGCAGUAAGGAAUAUUGGUCAAUGGACGAAAGUCUGAACCAGCCAUGCCGCGUGAAGGAUGAAGGCCUCUGGGUUGUAAACUUCUUUUACAGGGGACGCGGUACCCUGGGAAUAAGCACCGGCUAACUCCGUGCCAGCAGCCGCGGUAAUACGGAGGGUGCAAGCGUUAUCCGGAUUCACUGGGUUUAAAGGGUGCGUAGGUGGGUCUGUAAGUCAGCGGUGAAAUCUCCGAGCUUAACUCGGAAACUGCCAUUGAUACUAUAGGUCUUGAAUCAUCUGGAGGUGAGCGGAAUAUGUCAUGUAGCGGUGAAAUGCUUAGAUAUGACAUAGAACACCAAUUGCGAAGGCAGCUCACUACGAGUAUUGACACUGAGGCACGAAAGCGUGGGGAUCAAACAGGAUUAGAUACCCUGGUAGUC
Molecule: ribosomal RNA, 431 nt
Filed under: uncultured bacterium
Lineage: Bacteria
Description: partial 16S ribosomal RNA
Rfam family: Bacterial small subunit ribosomal RNA
Source: RNAcentral